UACGAAGGGGGCUAGCGUUGCUCGGAAUCACUGGGCGUAAAGGGUGCGUAGGCGGGUCUUUAAGUCCGGGGUGAAAUCCUGGAGCUCAACUCCAGAACUGCCUUUGAUACUGAGGAUCUUGAGUUCGGGAGAGGUGAGUGGAACUGCGAGUGUAGAGGUGAAAUUCGUAGAUAUUCGCAAGAACACCAGUGGCGAAGGCGGCUCACUGGCCCGGUACUGACGCUGAUGUGCGAAAGCGUGGGGAGCAAACAGG
This 253-nucleotide ribosomal RNA is filed under the name uncultured bacterium. RNAcentral describes it as "partial 16S ribosomal RNA". It matches the Rfam family "Bacterial small subunit ribosomal RNA", at positions 524 to 776 of the family's 1533-position model. The record is from RNAcentral.